Molecule: ribosomal RNA, 447 nt
Filed under: uncultured bacterium
Lineage: Bacteria
Description: bacterial SSU rRNA
Rfam family: Bacterial small subunit ribosomal RNA
Source: RNAcentral
UCGGGAAUUUUGGGCAAUGGGGGAAACCCUGACCCAGCAACGCCGCGUGAAGGAUGAAGUAUUUCGGUAUGUAAACUUCGAAAGAAUAGGAAGAAUAAAUGACGGUACUAUUUAUAAGGUCCGGCUAACUACGUGCCAGCAGCCGCGGUAAUACGUAGGGACCAAGCGUUGUUCGGAUUUACUGGGCGUAAAGGGCGCGUAGGCGGCAAUUCAAGUCAUCUGUGAAAUCUCCGGGCUUAACUCGGAACGGUCAGAUGAUACUGCUUUGCUAGAGUGCAGAAGGGGCAAUCGGAAUUCUUGGUGUAGCGGUGAAAUGCGUAGAUAUCAAGAGGAACACCUGAGGUGAAGACGGGUUGCUGGGCUGACACUGACGCUGAGGCGCGAAAGCCAGGGGAGCAAACGGGAUUAGAUACCCGAGUAGUCCCUGAGCGGGCUGGCAAGGCGCAU